CAUAUCAAUAAGCGGAGGAAAAGAAACUAACAAGGAUUCCCCUAGUAACUGCGAGUGAAGCGGGAAAAGCUCAAAUUUAAAAUCUGGCGGUCUUUGGCCGUCCGAGUUGUAGUCUGGAGAAGCGUCUUCCGCGUUGGACCGUGUACAAGUCUCUUGGAACAGAGCGUCAUAGAGGGUGAGAAUCCCGUCUUUGACACGGACUACCAAUGCUUUGUGAUGCGCUCUCAAAGAGUCGCGUUGUUUGGGAAUGCAGCGCAAAAUGGGAGGUGAAUUCCUUCUAAAGCUAAAUAUUGGCGAGAGACCGAUAGCGAACAAGUACCGUGAGGGAAAGAUGAAAAGCACUUUGGAAAGAGAGUUAAACAGUACGUGAAAUUGCUGAAAGGGAAACGCUUGAAGUCAGUCGCGUCGUCCGGAACUCAGCCUUGCUUCGGCUUGGUGCACUUUCCGGUUGACGGGCCAGCAUCGAUUUUGACCGCUGGAAAAGGGCUGGAGGAAUGUGGCACCUUCGGGUGUGUUAUAGCCUUCAGUCGCAUACAGCGGUUGGGAUCGAGGAACGCAGCACGCCUUAUGGCUGGGGUUCGCCCACAUUCGUGCUUAGGAUGCUGGCAUAAUGGCUUUAAACGACCC
RNAcentral lists this ribosomal RNA (627 nucleotides) under Trametes hirsuta. RNAcentral's name for it is "partial large subunit ribosomal RNA". It matches the Rfam family "Eukaryotic large subunit ribosomal RNA", at positions 39 to 650 of the family's 3401-position model. Lineage: Eukaryota; Fungi; Basidiomycota; Agaricomycetes; Polyporales; Polyporaceae. The record is from RNAcentral.